GGGGACAUAGCUCAAUUGGUUAGAGCGCCGCCCUGUCACGGCGGAGGUUGCGGGUUCGAGCCCCGUUGUCCCCGCCA
This 77-nucleotide transfer RNA is filed under the name Lentisphaerae bacterium GWF2_57_35. Its description in RNAcentral is "tRNA-Asp". It matches the Rfam family "tRNA". From Rfam's summary of the family: Transfer RNA (tRNA) molecules are approximately 80 nucleotides in length. Their secondary structure includes four short double-helical elements and three loops (D, anti-codon, and T loops). Further hydrogen bonds mediate the characteristic L-shaped molecular structure. tRNAs have two regions of fundamental functional importance: the anti-codon, which is responsible for specific mRNA codon recognition, and the 3' end, to which the tRNAs corresponding amino acid is attached (by aminoacyl-tRNA synthetases). tRNAs cope with the degeneracy of the genetic code in two manners: having more than one tRNA (with a specific anti-codon) for a particular amino acid; and 'wobble' base-pairing, i.e. permitting non-standard base-pairing at the 3rd anti-codon position. Lineage: Bacteria; Pseudomonadati; Lentisphaerota. RNAcentral also lists the same sequence under 1 other name. The record is from RNAcentral.